GCUUUCUCUUAUCAGUAGCAGUCUAGAUGCUUGGCGGACACGGCAGUAUGACUAUUAUCAGAGAGUUUUGAAUGGAAUAUUGUGAGGUUAGGUUUGCAUGGUACAACAUUCUUUGCUCCCUUUGACAAUUGCCAGUCCAGUGAAGCAUUUUGAUGAGUUUGAUGCAAAUCACUGUACAAGGGCAAUUGGUUUGCUGCAUUGUGUGACUCCGGAGAUUUUGUUGAAGAUGUAUCAAAUACUAAUAACAGAUUGUGGCCUGUUUUCUCUCGGUGAGAGGAAUUUGUAAUUGUAUCGGCUGAAAUACUUUUAGGAAGUCCAGCAGGCUAAAUUUUCUUCUGUGGAGUCGUCUUCUUUUCACUGUUUCCCCUUGUCAUUGAAUAUGGAAGUCUGCUUGUGUUCGGGGAAUUUAAUUAUUCAAAAAGGAGGCAUGCAUUUUCACCCUCUUCAUACAGCAUGUAUAGAUUCAUUUCUAUGAAGAUGACCGGCCAGAUAUGAAAAGGCUGCAAGGGCACAAUUGCUGAUUGAAUUUCACACUUGGUAGUCAUCAGAAGCAACACAAGUACCAAACUCCUGAUUACCUGCCAUUUUGCCAUUAGAAGUUGCUAUAUUCUUCAGAUAGAAGCAUGUCAGACAACAUCAUAUUGGUGUCUGUCUGUCAGUUCUGAUGUCAAAUAUUUGAUGGUGAGUCUUCGCGGGUAUAAUUUCUCAAUGCUUGUUUCCCAGAAAAGUUGUGCUUACAAAAUUCUUUAAAGCAAUAAAUGAAUACAUCAUGUGAGAUCAGUCCUGUUUUCUUUGAAAGUGAAAGAAAAAAUUUGUUUAUUGAAAUCUUAGUCAUAUAUCAUAGUCUUUGGUGGGCAUAGAAUUCUGUUCCAAUUUGUGUAUUUGAUGGACAUGGGCAUGGUAGGUUUUGUGGGUCAGUAAUAGAAAUUUUUUAGGCUGUUUACUCCUGUCUUGAUUCGUCAACUAUAGGAUCAUUCAUGUAAAAUAUGAUAAAGCAACUUUCUGUAAAGGCUUGGUUUUUAUCUCCUGGUACAGUGGGAAAUUUUACUGAGCAAUUCCUGUGAUGAGAUGUGAUUUGUUUAUUCAUAUGUUCUGC
Molecule: unclassified non-coding RNA, 1096 nt
Filed under: Hevea brasiliensis (rubber tree)
Lineage: Eukaryota; Viridiplantae; Streptophyta; Magnoliopsida; Malpighiales; Euphorbiaceae
Source: RNAcentral